Long non-coding RNA from Micropterus dolomieu (smallmouth bass), 829 nucleotides. RefSeq lists it as uncharacterized. The transcript has 2 exons. The record is from RefSeq and is a predicted model, not a curated record. Lineage: Eukaryota; Metazoa; Chordata; Actinopteri; Centrarchiformes; Centrarchidae.
AUGGUUGUGCUAUCGGAUGCACUAAUCGACAAGCAGACAAGCCUGAGCUGUGUUUGGUGAGGGAUUCCCUACAAGAGUUUGGUUUCACACAGUUUCACACACCACAAUAAGGCUACAGAGAGGUGAAGUGGCUGUGCAGCUGCUUGUGAAAAGGAGGAGGAGAUCCUGUUAGUCUCUGCUCCGGAUGAUGAGCUGAAAUCACAGAGGAGAGAACAAACAACCCUGGCGGCUGCCUCCAAAGCCACGAUCUGAGCAUGAAGCAGGUUGGCGCUUCAUCUGCAUCUCAAUGAGGAAUUUGAUCACAGCUCAGGAUUCAGAGGCAACGGCACAAUGUGAGGCUACCAGGGCCGCUGCUUUCAGAUAUGAAAAUACAUCUGGGAGACAAAUUAAAGACAGAGGGGGAAGAGAGACGUGUGAAGUUCAAAUGCAGCGUGUUCGCUGUGUUUGAUUCAUACUCUGCAGAGUUUCUCCCUCUAGGUUGGUUUGUUUUUCCAGAUGAUGAUGACAUUCAAACAAAAAAAGUGCUGACAUAUUUCCACCUUUUUAUGUGAUAAACUUGUUAGCAAACAGUUGCCUAUUUACACAUGCACCAAACAUGGAGAAACAUUUGGAUUCUCCUUUAAGGUGUGUUUCGGCCAGCUGUCACAAGAUGAUAAUUCUCUGUGGGCUUGUAACUAUGAGACACCCACUCACAUCACACAUCAUCAUUCGAUCCAUUGUUAAUGUAUAAAUAAUUAUUAUAGCAGCUUUAAGUUUGUCUAACUUAUUUUCUUAGAUUGACUCAGUGGGCUUUGCAUUAGUACAGCUAAUAAACAGAUUUAACAAACUA